RNAcentral lists this ribosomal RNA (1469 nucleotides) under Enterococcus mundtii. RNAcentral describes it as "bacterial SSU rRNA". It matches the Rfam family "Bacterial small subunit ribosomal RNA". The record is from RNAcentral. Lineage: Bacteria; Bacillati; Bacillota; Bacilli; Lactobacillales; Enterococcaceae.
CUGGCGGCGUGCCUAAUACAUGCAAGUCGAACGCUUCUUUUCCCACCGGAGCUUGCUCCACCGGGAAAAGAGGAGUGGCGAACGGGUGAGUAACACGUGGGUAACCUGCCCAUCAGAAGGGGAUAACACUUGGAAACAGGUGCUAAUACCGUAUAACAAUCGAAACCGCAUGGUUUCGUUUUGAAAGGCGCUUUACGGUGCCGCUGAUGGAUGGACCCGCGGUGCAUUAGCUAGUUGGUGAGGUAACGGCUCACCAAGGCCACGAUGCAUAGCCGACCUGAGAGGGUGAUCGGCCACAUUGGGACUGAGACACGGCCCAAACUCAUACGGGAGGCAGCAGUAGGGAAUCUUCGGCAAUGGACGAAAGUCUGACCGAGCAACGCCGCGUGAGUGAAGAAGGUUUUCGGAUCGUAAAACUCUGUUGUUAGAGAAGAACAAGGGUGAGAGUAACUGUUCACCCCUUGACGGUAUCUAACCAGAAAGCCACGGCUAACUACGUGCCAGCAGCCGCGGUAAUACGUAGGUGGCAAGCGUUGUCCGGAUUUAUUGGGCGUAAAGCGAGCGCAGGCGGUUUCUUAAGUCUGAUGUGAAAGCCCCCGGCUCAACCGGGGAGGGUCAUUGGAAACUGGGAGACUUGAGUGCAGAAGAGGAGAGUGGAAUUCCAUGUGUAGCGGUGAAAUGCGUAGAUAUAUGGAGGAACACCAGUGGCGAAGGCGGCUCUCUGGUCUGUAACUGACGCUGAGGCUCGAAAGCGUGGGGAGCAAACAGGAUUAGAUACCCUGGUAGUCCACGCCGUAAACGAUGAGUGCUAAGUGUUGGAGGGUUUCCGCCCUUCAGUGCUGCAGCUAACGCAUUAAGCACUCCGCCUGGGGAGUACGACCGCAAGGUUGAAACUCAAAGGAAUUGACGGGGGCCCGCACAAGCGGUGGAGCAUGUGGUUUAAUUCGAAGCAACGCGAAGAACCUUACCAGGUCUUGACAUCCUUUGACCACUCUAGAGAUAGAGCUUCCCCUUCGGGGGCAAAGUGACAGGUGGUGCAUGGUUGUCGUCAGCUCGUGUCGUGAGAUGUUGGGUUAAGUCCCGCAACGAGCGCAACCCUUAUUGUUAGUUGCCAUCAUUUAGUUGGGCACUCUAGCAAGACUGCCGGUGACAAACCGGAGGAAGGUGGGGAUGACGUCAAAUCAUCAUGCCCCUUAUGACCUGGGCUACACACGUGCUACAAUGGGAAGUACAACGAGUCGCGAAGUCGCGAGGCUAAGCUAAUCUCUUAAAGCUUCUCUCAGUUCGGAUUGUAGGCUGCAACUCGCCUACAUGAAGCCGGAAUCGCUAGUAAUCGCGGAUCAGCACGCCGCGGUGAAUACGUUCCCGGGCCUUGUACACACCGCCCGUCACACCACGAGAGUUUGUAACACCCGAAGUCGGUGAGGUAACCUUUUUGGAGCCAGCCGCCUAAGGUGGGAUAGAUGAUU